Alligator sinensis (Chinese alligator) is the source of this 667-nucleotide long non-coding RNA. RefSeq lists it as uncharacterized. The record is from RefSeq and is a predicted model, not a curated record. Lineage: Eukaryota; Metazoa; Chordata; Crocodylia; Alligatoridae. The transcript has 3 exons.
AGAGGAAUGGAGGGGUUACUAAUGAGCUAAGGAACUUUUCACUUCCCUUCUAAGUUACCACCUCUUUCUUCUCUGGGUCCAAAAUGGACAAAAUCAGCCCUCUUGGCUUUCCUAAGGGCAUUAUACACAGAGGCAGAGGAUCAUCGCAAUCCAGCUACUGAAAUGUCCAGAACCAGAGAGUGGGAAUGCAGAUGAAAAGAUUCCUUUGGAACAAAAGGAAUGGACUGAAGGAGCACAGAAAGGGGGACUUCAGGCAGUAGGAAAGUUCUUGAUGGUGACUGGUCAGCAACCUGCCUGCCAGAGCAAGGGAGGAGAAGGAAGACACUCUGGGCUUGCUCUCACUUGAACCAUGGAACCCACCUUGCCUGAACCAAAUGGAGCCCUGCACCUUGUGUGGAAAACCAGACCUCUAGAUGCAGCUUUGCAGAGUGAAGAAGAGACAAUAAAGCCUCCUGAAUAGCUUUUCCUUUUGGCAGGCUGCCCAGAUAUAGCACUGAAAGGACAGGCUGUCCUUUGUGAGAUGAACACUGCCUCUUAGUGUUGCUGAGCUGGUCUAAUAGCAGGCAAAUCCAGGAUAUUCUGCUCAGACUAUUUCAGGGAAAAGCUGUAAUUUGUCAACCCAAGCUCUUGCCUCAGCAAAAUCUUCUAUCUACUCUACAAAAAGCAG